Molecule: non-coding RNA, 29 nt
Filed under: Mus musculus (house mouse)
Lineage: Eukaryota; Metazoa; Chordata; Mammalia; Rodentia; Muridae
Source: RNAcentral
UUCCUAGGUAUCUUCAAAGAGGAAGGAGC